Molecule: non-coding RNA, 2572 nt
Organism: Vicugna pacos (alpaca)
Lineage: Eukaryota; Metazoa; Chordata; Mammalia; Artiodactyla; Camelidae
Source: RefSeq, a predicted model, not a curated record
UUCCUCCUCCUGCUCUCGCCUCGCUCUGCUCCCGCCUCGCUCUGCUCCGCGGCCGUCGGAACUAGGUGAGAGCUGGCAGCUCUGGAGCGAGGGGCCCGGGUGCCCCGGCUGGCCGGACCCCCCCUCACCCGGCCGGGACUAAUGGAGAAGCGCGGGGACGGUGGUGUGAGAGGAUAGUCGGUGCCCCACGCCUGAAGCCGUCAGCCCGCCGUUUGUUAAUAAGGGGAGCCUCAUCUCUCCGAGCCCCUGGGAAAGCUGGGAGCACGCGCGCGCACACACACUGAUACACCGACGUCCACAUUUGAUCCGGAGAAACUGGGUGCCUGCCCCUUUUCGAGUCUUCGAAGACUGAGAGACUGGAACCAGAUGGGAAAGAGGAGGCCUGGAUAGGCCCGAAGCGCCCCGCGGAGGCUUCCUCCUGCGUGGGGUGCGACUCCUCCCCCUCCCGCGUCGGGUGCGACUCCCCCCACCCCAGCUGCAACAUUCUGGGUUUCCGUUUGCCGUGGAAGAGCCGGGGGCUUUUGUGACAGCAAGAAACAAGGUGACAUGAGAGAUUUGACUGGGCCCUGCGCUGAAGAGCUUACUGGUAGAAUUAAUCCCUAAAGAGACUGAAGUGGGUUUCAGGAUGGCGAAAGAGGAGCCCCCGAGUACUUCAAAGGACUUGCAGGAGCUGCAGAAGAAGCUGUCUUUGCUGGUAGAGUCUGUCCAGAAUAACCCAAAGGUGGUUGCCUUCAUGAAGUCUCCGGUGGGUCAGUACCUGGACAGGCAUCCUUUCCUGACCCUCACCUUGCUGGUGUUUGUUGCUGUGUCAGCUGUCCCUGUUGGCUUCUUCCUGCUCCUGGUGGUGCUCACCUCCCUGGCUGCUUUUGUGGGAGUCAUAUUACUGGAAGGACUGGUCAUCUCUGUGGGCGGCCUCUCACUGCUUUGUGUCCUCUGUGGCUUGGGCUUCGUGUCGCUUGCCUUGUCGGGGAUAAUCAUAGUGUCUUACGUGGUGGUCUCCAGCCUCAUCAGCUACUGGUUUUCUCCCAGGCUACCAUGGCAACAGGUGUUCAUUCCAGCAGCUGCUCCACAGCCAGCCUGGCUUUCCUCUCUCAAAGUUCUGCCUCAGCAUUUGCAAACACAUCAGAACCAACCUGCCAGGGGACAGCCUCGAGGCCCAGGUCACCUUAGUAUUGACCUCUGACUCUACACUAACAGAGCAACUUGCAAAUAAGAAGCUCCAGCUCCACAAUCAAGAUACUGGCAUCUUGGACCAGCUGUGCUUGGGCUCAAGUCGCUCAUCUGUAAAAUGUGCACGUCCAGCAAAGUGUCUUUCCAAGUUGGGGGUAGUGACUCGUUAGGAGGUAACCGAUGAAGCCGAGAGUUCCCACAACGCCUGCUAAGGCAACCCCAGCCACCACAGUUUUAAAGGCAACAAAACCAGCAGUCCCAUGCCCUUUGGACUCCACAGCGCCUGGAAAGGAAGCAGACAUUCCAGUCUUAAGAUCGUAUUUAAAUCGAGUGUAAGUUGAAGCUGAAACUUUACAUGUAAGCUCCCCAGAGAAGGAAGUGAAUUUAAACUUCAAAAGGACUCGUCUGGGAUGCUUGCAACAGCAUAGUCCUACCCCUCCAGCCAAACCCCCCCCUCUCCCGACCCCACUCCCACAGCUGGCAUUUCCUCCUUGCUUUUACUCCCCUCAAGAUCAGAUGGGCUGACACCCGGAAAGGACCUUACGGUCCCAAGCGUGCCGUUUAACAUUCUGGCACUGACAGAUGUGGUUAGUUGUCCCAAGGGCAUGGUCUCUUGCAGGUUGUUAGCUAGGGAUUUAAGAGAGCUUAAUGACAAGUUCGAGGCCUACAAUUAUGACUAUUGGGGGUGAGGAUAUGGGACAACAAUAACAUCAACAAUAAAGGCUUAAGUUUGGUAGUAACAAGACAUGUCUUUGAAACUCUAAGUCUCACUUUUAGAAAUAUACCCUGACGUCCUUGAAUCGUAGGCCAAGAUUUAAGGUUUCCAUCGUGGCGUUAGUGACAAAACUGGAAGUAACGCAGAUGGAAUUCUUUCUAGUUAUUAACAGUGAGAGGUCUCUUUGCAGAUAUAAGAUGGCUAAAACAAAUAGUUACGGACGAGUAGGUACAAUAUAUGAUCCCACUCGUGGGGAGGGGAGACUUGGGGAAGGGUACACAAGAGACUUAACAGAGCCUACUGCUGGGAAGAGACUAUUAUUCCCUUCUUGUUUCUCAUGAGCAUGUAUUAUCUAUGCACAAUUAAAUUUGACAGAAACCCAAGAAGCUGAGUCCAAGAAGUACCCAAGGCUUUAAAUCCAUACCUCUGAGUGAAGAGCCGUCUAACAGGAGGAUGGGGCCCGGGAGACUGACUAUCAUUUUCUCUUCCUCAGUGGCCCCUGUGGCUGGAGACAGACAGUUUGACCUCUGAGAUAAUGGACAGUGGUAAGAAGUAUGCUGAUGGAAUACACAGAGCAGCUCUCUGCGGAGGCCAUGCUCUGUAUAGUUUUGCCUGCCUUUGCAGAAGAGGCAAAUGCCUUACUGUAAAAGCAGGAGGAACUGUGAAAGAAUAUCCAAAGACAGAAUU